CCAGUUAGCCCAACCUCGAUUUUCCACUUUCCCAUUCGCUUGUCCCCCUUUUCUUCUUGCUGUUAUCGUGUAACUCAGUGUUGGAGAUAAUCUGCGAUCCCAUGUUAAGAAAUAUUCUUUCAGGAAGCAAGCGCUGGCUCUGGAGAGCCAACUAUACUACUCCUGACGGAUUCUUUUGACCCCUUUCCUUCUUCCUUCCUUCUCGACGGAUCUGUUCUCUUCCCUUUCUCUCAACCACUGUUCAAAUGCAGUAGUUAAGAUGUUUCUUGUCGUGAUGGAUAUUUUUAGUAAAAUUUUCCAGUAUUUGCCCAAACACAAUGGUUGAAAUAUUUAUGGUUGCAAUGAUUGGUAUUCUAAAAUGAUUGUUUUCCAGUAUUUACCCAAAAACAUUGGUUAAAAUGUUUUUGGUUGCAAAAUUUAGUUUUGUUCCAAAAUGUUCGGUUCUAACAUUAUGCAUAUCCUUACUUACUAAAAGAAACUUUUUUUUGUAGAAACUAAAAAUGCUGACCUGUGUCCGUAUUGAUUUCUCAGGCCUUACUAGAGAAUAGUACACUUGGCUAUUUAAAAACUCUGACUAUUGACUUUGAUUACUCGUGCUUAAAGUUGUUAUUUUAGGUACUAUAAUUUGAACUUUAUAACCUGAAUUAUGGCCUAGCAUUUCUUGGCAACAUUUUAAAAUAAAUCUGUAAACCUUGUUUUGUUUUGUGUGUUAUUAUUUUUUUUUAAGAAAAUAUGAGUAAGGGAUGAUUUUGAUUGUCCGGGUCUAUCAUUAGGUUGAACUUUUUAUUGUUUUUGAAUUUGGAAGUCUUGAGUGUUUUUUCAAUGUGUCUCAUGUACUGGUUUAUAUUUUCUGGACCAAUUUAUAUACAUGUUCUAUGCUAAAUCCAGAAGCACAUAGGUUACAGAUUCAAAGUCCCAUUUGGUAUUAGUUAGUUUGCAGUAUGAGAAUCCCUUGAGAGUUGAGAUUAAAAAUGUUAAAAGCCAAACUUAAGCUGAUAGUAGAUUAAAAAAAGUAAUUCAAAACAAAGAAGUUCUAUACUAGGGUUUCCAGAUCAAAGAUAUAACUUUUAGUAUUAUACAGGAAGACAAUCAUAGUCCUGUUAUUGUGGUAUUGCUAUGCUUAUUUACUGUUACAGAUUUACAGGAACUUGUCAUACAUUGAUUUCACAAUAAUAAUCCAUCUUCAACAGAACAAUAGAAGGGGAAGAUGACAUUUUGCAGAAAACGUUGUGGCUUAGUUGGGCAAGGAAUUCUUAAAGACAGUGUGAUAGGCAGAUCAAAUGAGGCUUUCCAGAUGCUUAACUCUGUUCGCUAUUUUACGUCUACAAAACUUUUUGCUGGAGGGCAGCCCGGUGCACGAAGCUCCCGCCAUGCGGGGUCCCCGGGAAGGAUCCAUUGUACACAGUAUUACCCUGCUUUUUGCAAAAAGUUGUUUCCAGGAUUCGAACCCGUGACCUUUUGAUCACAUGGCAACAACUUUACCGUUGCGCCAAGACUCCCCUUCAUUCUAUCACGUCUAUAUGCCUAAAAAACUUUUAGUUAGAGCGGAUGCAGAAUUGAGUAAAGAGUCAGUUCUAGCCCCCCAAUGCCUUCACUAGUACCAGAGGAAUGAGAAAUCGUUGUUUCUCUAAUCAAAUGCAAAAGAAAUCGUCCAAAUGCUCGGCCAGGUUCCUCCAAAAUAGUUUUAACACCAAGCGCAUCUAUUGCUUCAUCAAUUCCUCUAACCACAUUUGCCUUCAUAGGGCAACAAUUACCUCUCCUCCACCAAAAAGGCAUACUGCAGAAACACACCAUAAUCCCACAUUGUCAAAUUUAAUAGGCGAGACCUCUCAUCCCCGUAGUGUGAUGUCCUUUGAUUUCAUUUCCUCAUUGAUUAAUGAAAAAGCUUCUCUCCACUUAGCAGAAUUAGAAGCAGCUGAAAAAUGUAAUGUGGAAGAAUUAAUAGAGGUUGUGGUUGAUUCUACAAUGAGGAGUUUUUUUAUCUUCUUGGUGGGGGCUCUUGAUCUAGAAGGACUUCUAAGCAAAAUACCCAAUGACAUGCUUAAAGAUUGAACUAUGUGUGUUGUUGUUGUAAUAUCAAGUGUCUCUUGCACCCAAACAUGUUUAUAUUUUAAUCAUUGAACUAUGUUUCUAAUAUAUGCCCACUUAUUGGUAUAUAUUACUUAAAUAGAUAUCUAAUUAAGUAGAAGAGAUUAGAGGAGUAAAAAUGUAGAAUUAAUCCUAAUUCAUCUUUGACAAAUGUCAAAGAAAGCAAAGCAACUAUUGGUACUCAGCUUCCAACAAAUGUAAACUAUGACAGGUUAAACUCUUUUGUGGUACUUUCUAAGUUGUUGGAAUUCUGUGAAUUUGUAUGAUCAUUGUCAUUAUCAA
Molecule: long non-coding RNA, 2370 nt
Organism: Zingiber officinale
Lineage: Eukaryota; Viridiplantae; Streptophyta; Magnoliopsida; Zingiberales; Zingiberaceae
Exons: 3
Source: RefSeq, a predicted model, not a curated record